RNAcentral lists this ribosomal RNA (200 nucleotides) under uncultured bacterium. RNAcentral's name for it is "partial 16S ribosomal RNA". It matches the Rfam family "Bacterial small subunit ribosomal RNA", at positions 524 to 723 of the family's 1533-position model. The record is from RNAcentral.
UACGUAGGGGGCGAGCGUUGCCCGGAAUCACUGGGCGUAAAGGGAGCGUAGGCGGCCUGUUAAGUCGGCUGUGAAAAACCGGAGCUCAACUCCGGUCCUGCGGUCGAAACUAGCAGGCUUGAGGACGGUAGAGGGAGACGGAACAGCUGGUGUAGGGGUAAAAUCCUUAGAUAUCAGCUGGAACGCCGGUGGUGAAGACG